RNAcentral lists this ribosomal RNA (499 nucleotides) under uncultured bacterium. Its description in RNAcentral is "bacterial SSU rRNA". It matches the Rfam family "Bacterial small subunit ribosomal RNA", at positions 88 to 573 of the family's 1533-position model. The record is from RNAcentral.
UUGGUUAGCGGCGGGCGGGUGAGUAACACGUGGGCAACCUGCCUGUAAGACUGGGAUAACACCGGGAAACCGGUGCUAAUACCGGAUAAUCCUUUUCCUCACAUGAGGGAAAGCUGAAAGACGGUUUCGGCUGUCACUUACAGAUGGGCCCGCGGCGCAUUAGCUAGUUGGUGAGGUAACGGCUCACCAAGGCGACGAUGCGUAGCCGACCUGAGAGGGUGAUCGGCCACACUGGGACUGAGACACGGCCCAGACUCCUACGGGAGGCAGCAGUAGGGAAUCUUCCGCAAUGGACGAAAGUCUGACGGAGCAACGCCGCGUGAGCGAUGAAGGCCUUCGGGUCGUAAAGCUCUGUUGUUAGGGAAGAACAAGUACCGGAGUAACUGCCGGUACCUUGACGGUACCUAACCAGAAAGCCACGGCUAACUACGUGCCAGCAGCCGCGGUAAUACGUAGGUGGCAAGCGUUGUCCGGAAUUAUUGGGCGUAAAGCGCGCGCA